GGCUACUGAAUUGCCAUUUUAUGUAUACAAUAUUUCUUAGUUAUGGCUGUGACACUUACCAUUUUACCCUCAAUGCAAUAAUUUGGUAUCAUCACUCUGUUCCAUUUUCUACAGCUCACCAUCCAGCAGCUCCAUCAAGAAGACUAGCAUCUGCAUCAAAUAUCCUAGGCUACAACUCUUUCCCCAUCAUUUUGACCCUAUCAUCCCUCUUGUGAAUAGUUGUUUGUCUUGGAAGUCCUUCCCAGUCGAUGUAUCAUUGCACUCUUUCUGAAAUUAUAGAAAUUCAUUCAUAUCGCUCCCCAUCUUCAGCAUUUGCAGUGGUGAUCAGUGGGUUAGCACUUAGGUUGGAUGUUGCACAUGGUUCGCCAUAAUACAUUCCAUGAAACUUGUGCAUGUUGGUUUUGAUAGGACUAUUUGUGUGGGAAAUCCAUUAGUCUUCCUAGCUAUUAUCUUCAUGUGGC
This 461-nucleotide long non-coding RNA is filed under the name Phoenix dactylifera (date palm). RNAcentral describes it as "long non-coding RNA (PDAC_LNC018008)". Lineage: Eukaryota; Viridiplantae; Streptophyta; Magnoliopsida; Arecales; Arecaceae. The record is from RNAcentral.